CCUACGGGAGGCAGCAGUGAGGAAUAUUGGUCAAUGGUCGGGAGACUGAACCAGCCAAGCCGCGUGAGGGAUGAAGGUACAGAGUAUCGUAAACCUCUUUUGUCAGGGAACAAAGGCGGGGACGUGUCCCCGGAUGAGUGUACCUGAAGAAAAAGCAUCGGCUAACUCCGUGCCAGCAGCCGCGGUAAUACGGAGGAUGCGAGCGUUAUCCGGAGUUAGUGGGUUUAAAGGGUGCGAAGGCGGUCUGUUAAGUCAGCGGUCAAAGCCCGGGGUUCAACCCCGGCCCGCCGUUGAAACUGGCAGUCUCGAGUUGGAGAGAAGUAUGCGGAAUGCGCGGUGUAGCGGUGAAAUGCAUAGAUAUCGCGCAGAACUCCGAUUGCGAAGGCAGCAUGCCGGCUCCACACUGACGCUGAGGCACGAAAGCGUGGGUAUCGAACAGGAUUAGAUACCCGGGUAGUC
RNAcentral lists this ribosomal RNA (459 nucleotides) under uncultured bacterium. RNAcentral describes it as "partial 16S ribosomal RNA". It matches the Rfam family "Bacterial small subunit ribosomal RNA", at positions 338 to 795 of the family's 1533-position model. The record is from RNAcentral.